GUGUUAGUCUGCCUUGCAUUUCUUAAAAUCCCAGGGAUGGUCAGUUUAAAAAGAGAACAGUUUUACUUUGGCUCACGGUGGCUUGGCUCGUUGCGUCGCCUAGGACUGUGGUGAGGUAGGUAUCCCGGUGAUAGCAGGUGACCCAGGAAGCACCGGUGCAUAACGGAGGGGGAAGGGGAAGGGCAGGGCCCCACAGCCCCGCAAGCGCAAGCGCAUCUUCCGAGUCCUAACCGCCUCUCACAGUGCCGCAGGCCUGGGCCUGGGGACCCUCAGCUCCACAUGGCAGCGCUGCGAGAGGAGCUCAGACAGCACAGCUUCUGGAGGCAGGUCCUGCCCGCCUCGCUGAGAUCACCCAGUGUCUCUGCUACUUGGUGGCCCUGUGACCUUGGUACAAUGACCUACUUACCUGCUCCCAGGCAAUGCUAACCCUGUCUAAAGUGAUGCCCAGGAUUCAGGCAGCCAUGACAAGGUCCCCAGGCCGUGUUGUCUAUUAAGGAUGUGGUUUUGGCACACAGAAAAGACAGCGAGGACACUCACUCAACCAUUCAUUCAUGAAAUACUCAUCCUCAUAUCAGUGUAUGUGAGAGCCUAGGCCCAUGACUAAGGACAAUACAAUCUUCCUUGCUGGGCCGAAAUCUGGCUGGAAACACAUCCGCUGUUCUGGAGGAGAACAUAACAAACAACCAUCAUGGCGUCAUUGAAGAUGCACAGGGGCA
Molecule: long non-coding RNA, 716 nt
Filed under: Fukomys damarensis (Damara mole-rat)
Lineage: Eukaryota; Metazoa; Chordata; Mammalia; Rodentia; Bathyergidae
Description: lncRNA (ENSFDAG00000032588.1)
Source: RNAcentral